This 832-nucleotide ribosomal RNA is filed under the name Xenoacremonium recifei. RNAcentral describes it as "eukaryotic LSU rRNA". It matches the Rfam family "Eukaryotic large subunit ribosomal RNA", at positions 74 to 938 of the family's 3401-position model. The record is from RNAcentral. Lineage: Eukaryota; Fungi; Ascomycota; Sordariomycetes; Hypocreales; Nectriaceae.
AUUGCCUAGUAACGGCGAGUGAAGCGGCAACAGCUCAAAUUUGAAAUCUGGCCUUCGGGUCCGAGUUGUAAUUUGUAGAGGAUGCUUUUGGUGCGGUGCCUUCCGAGUUCCCUGGAACGGGACGCCAUAGAGGGUGAGAGCCCCGUCUGGUUGGAUACCAAUCCUCUGUAAAGCUCCUUCGACGAGUCGAGUAGUUUGGGAAUGCUGCUCUAAAUGGGAGGUAUAUGUCUUCUAAAGCUAAAUACCGGCCAGAGACCGAUAGCGCACAAGUAGAGUGAUCGAAAGAUGAAAAGCACUUUGAAAAGAGGGUUAAACAGUACGUGAAAUUGUUGAAAGGGAAGCGCUUGUGACCAGACUUGGGCAUGGUUAAUCAUCCAGCGUUCUCGCUGGUGCACUUGGCCUGCCCAGGCCAGCAUCAGUUCGGUGCGGGGGAUAAAGGCUUCGGGAAUGUGGCUCCUCCGGGAGUGUUAUAGCCCGUUGUGCAAUACCCUGCGCUGGACUGAGGUUCGCGCAUCUGCAUGGAUGCUGGCGUAAUGGUCAUCAGCGACCCGUCUUGAAACACGGACCAAGGAGUCGUCCUCGUAUGCGAGUGUUCGGGUGUUAAACCCCUACGCGUAAUGAAAGUGAACGCAGGUGAGAGCUUCGGCGCAUCAUCGACCGAUCCUGAUGUUCUCGGAUGGAUUUGAGUAAGAGCAUACGGGGCCGGACCCGAAAGAAGGUGAACUAUGCCUGUAUAGGGUGAAGCCAGAGGAAACUCUGGUGGAGGCUCGCAGCGGUUCUGACGUGCAAAUCGAUCGUCAAAAUAUGGGCAUGGGGGCGAAAGACUAAUCGA